This 615-nucleotide ribosomal RNA is filed under the name uncultured bacterium. Its description in RNAcentral is "bacterial SSU rRNA". The stretch from base 1 to 515 matches the Rfam family "Bacterial small subunit ribosomal RNA", at positions 338 to 873 of the family's 1533-position model. The record is from RNAcentral.
CCUACGGGAGGCAGCAGUGGGGAAUCUUGCGCAAUGGGCGAAAGCCUGACGCAGCCAUGCCGCGUGAAUGAUGAAGGUCUUAGGAUUGUAAAAUUCUUUCACCGGGGACGAUAAUGACGGUACCCGGAGAAGAAGCCCCGGCUAACUUCGUGCCAGCAGCCGCGGUAAUACGAAGGGGGCUAGCGUUGCUCGGAAUUACUGGGCGUAAAGGGAGCGUAGGCGGAUAGUUUAGUCAGAGGUGAAAGCCCAGGGCUCAACCUUGGAAUUGCCUUUGAUACUGGCUAUCUUGAGUGUGGGAGAGGUAUGUGGAACUCCGAGUGUAGAGGUGAAAUUCGUAGAUAUUCGGAAGAACACCAGUGGCGAAGGCGACAUACUGGCCCAUUACUGACGCUGAGGCUCGAAAGCGUGGGGAGCAAACAGGAUUAGAUACCCUGGUAGUCCACGCUGUAAACGAUGAGUGCUAGUUGUCGGCAGCAUGCUCGUCGGUGCGCNGCUACGCAUAAGACACCUCCGCCGUCGGGGUAGGUACGGUCGGCGAAGAAGUUAAAACGUUUAAAGUUAGUUAAGUUAGUACGGCGUUGAGACGUUGCCGACGGACGACGACGAGGGAGGAGG